Molecule: long non-coding RNA, 232 nt
Organism: Carassius auratus (goldfish)
Lineage: Eukaryota; Metazoa; Chordata; Actinopteri; Cypriniformes; Cyprinidae
Exons: 3
Source: RefSeq, a predicted model, not a curated record
GGUUCCGCCCGAAACAUGUCCUGCUGUCUGCUGGAUUUUGGCCGGGUCCAGGAGCUCAGACAGGUUCGAGACUUUCUCUUCCCAAAGCACAACAGCGCCGGACCCGAGGAAGAGAAAACACGAGCAGAGAAUGAGUUAACGUGGGAUGACUCCGACUGGGGCUCUUGGGAAAAUCCGGGUGGUAAAGAGGAUGGAGCUCAGGCUGAGGAGGAGGAGCAGCAGCAGAGCGCCC